UAACGCGAAGAACCUUACCAGGUCUUGACAUCUUCUGCUAACCUAAGAGAUUAGGCGUUCCCUUCGGGGACGGAAUGACAGGUGGUGCAUGGUUGUCGUCAGCUCGUGUCGUGAGAUGUUGGGUUAAGUCCCGCAACGAGCGCAACCCUUAUUGUCAGUUGCCAGCAUUUAGUUGGGCACUCUGGCGAGACUGCCGGUGACAAACCGGAGGAAGGUGGGGAUGACGUCAAAUCAUCAUGCCCCUUACGGCCUGGGCUACACACGUGCUACAAUGGUCGGUACAGAGGGUUGCCAAGCCGCGAGGUGGAGCUAAUCCCACAAAACCGAUCGUAGUCCGGAUCGCAGUCUGCAACUCGACUGCGUGAAGUCGGAAUCGCUAGUAAUCGCGAAUCAGA
RNAcentral lists this ribosomal RNA (395 nucleotides) under uncultured bacterium. RNAcentral's name for it is "bacterial SSU rRNA". It matches the Rfam family "Bacterial small subunit ribosomal RNA", at positions 957 to 1353 of the family's 1533-position model. The record is from RNAcentral.